RNAcentral lists this ribosomal RNA (451 nucleotides) under uncultured bacterium. RNAcentral's name for it is "partial 16S ribosomal RNA". It matches the Rfam family "Bacterial small subunit ribosomal RNA", at positions 28 to 507 of the family's 1533-position model. The record is from RNAcentral.
GAUGAAUGCUGGCGGCGUGCCUAACACAUGCAAGUCGAGCGGCAGCGAGGGGUGCUUGCACCCUGUCGGCGAGCGGCGAACGGCUGAGUAACGCGUAGGAAUUUGCCCCAAAGUGAGGAAUAACUGCCCGAAAGGGUAGCUAAUGCCGCAUAUGGUCUUCGGAUUAAAGGAUUUAUCCGCUUUGGGAGAAGCCUGCGUUGGAUUAGGUUGUUGGUAGGGUAAUGGCAUACCAAGCCGACGAUCCAUAGCUGGUCUGAGAGGAUGAUCAGCCAGACUGGAACUGAGACACGGUCCAGACUCCUACGGAAGGCAGCAGUGAGGAAUCUUCCACAAGGGGCGAAAGCCUGAUGGAGCAACGCGGCGUGAAGGAUGAAGGCCGUCGUGUUGUAAACUUCUUCUAUGAGUGAAGAAUAUGACGGUAACUCGUGAAUAAGCACCGGCUAACUACGUG